This 4554-nucleotide long non-coding RNA is filed under the name Sus scrofa (pig). RNAcentral describes it as "lncRNA (ENSSSCG00065021880.1)". The record is from RNAcentral. Lineage: Eukaryota; Metazoa; Chordata; Mammalia; Artiodactyla; Suidae.
GUAUCUUGCUUCUAGUCAAUCUCUUUACAUUUUUUUCCCCCUUUCCUGCACCCAAAGCUAACCCUUGACAUCUUCAUCUCUUGCAGCAACAGGGACAGGGUGCUCAACAAACAUUCCGUUUGCUCCUCCGCAUUUCAUAGCCCCUUUGCACGUAGGCAGGUCCUCAUGAUGAGUUCUGGAUAAUGGGCUAACGUGAAAGUGACGCUGGGUACUUUGGUGGCAACGUGGAAGAGCCAGUGUGAUACUUGCCACUUGUCCCUUCCCUAGAUGAUACCUAUUCAAGAUGGAGAGCCUGGGUCCCUGAGUGACCCUGUCCAGUACCUGAAAGCAUGAAAUAAAGAAGAAAUAAGUUUUUUUUAAAAGUUAAGUGCUUCAAAUAUGAGGAAUACACUAGCCUUUUUUGCCUAAUGAAUAAUCACAGCUCUCUAGAGUCUUUUGGUAAGAGAUUGAAACCUUGUUUAACUUGUCACCCAAAGUCUUUCAAAAUCAAAUUCCACUUUUCUAAUUUUGUAGUACUCCAAAUAAUGUAAUAGCUACUCUAGAGAAUUUAAUAUAUUCAAAUGCUUUUGCUUUUGACUAUGUCUAUUAUCAUCAUUUUAUUUGUGCUCUGUUAUUUUUUUUGCUCACGUUCUUUGAAUUAGUCACUCUGGUUCCUACCAUAAAACUUCUUUGUAGGGCUUAAUAAAUGCUUUACCUUCUGGCUUUUUCCAGCCUCAUCAUUUGCCAGUCUUCUCUCUAUUUUUUUUUCCCUAGUGUGGAGGAACAGACACAAUCUCCCACCUUUACUUUGCAAACUUCUUGUCUAUCAGUCUCCACUAAACAGAUAGUUACUCAAGGAAGCCUUUUUUGAUCUCUGUAUUGAGACCCUGCCCAUAUUCUUCUAGGGGAUGCUAAUCUUCCUCUCUAGUAGCUAUCAUUACACUGUAUUUUCAUUGCCUAAUUGCUUCUUUACACACCCCACUAAGCCGUAAGCACUGAUUGAGUCCAUCUCAUUCUUGUGUGUUCUUACUGGCAAUCACAAGCUCUGUCACCUAAAGGGGACACAGCAGGGCAUUGAAUCAAAAUAGGUUCCCCACAAUGGAGAAGACUCUUCCGUCUUUCUCUAACUGCUUUCUCAUCCCAGUACUUAUCCUGUUUCUUCCACAAAGCCUUGUGUAUGAUUUUAUCGCACACGACUCUAUGGUAUUGAGGUGCUCAUAGAGUACACCACCUUUUUUGACCAUCACUCAUUUGGGGCCUGCUUUUCGUCCUUGCUCAUUGUAUUGCCUGAGUAUUAUAUCCCCCAGUAUCAUCUUUGAAAACGGGUACUCUUUUGAGAAAAUUAUUUAUAGUAUCCAGAAGAGGCUUAGCAUGAGACAGGCACUCUGUUUGGAUAAGUAUGAAUAAGGAAAAGGUCUGAUCUCAGGGUGUUCAGAACCUAAAAGACAGGACAAAAUGUAAACAGAUAAAUAGAUGUCAGUGGUUUUAUUUUCAUAUUAUUUGCAUGAGCAAGUAUCUGUGCCAAGAGACUACAAUUGCUAAAAAUGCUUUAAUAUAUGAAGAGGCAUAGAAAAUGUCUUCACAGCCAUAAAGUGAAAUUAUGGGAAAUACAAUUAUCCACAUUGAUUGACAAUCUUAAUGAAAUGAGUAAAACUCCAAAGAAUAAUUGUUCAGAAUUCCUCACUUCUGCCUCCAUAAUUUUAAGGAAGGAAAAAAGUCCCAUUACUUCUUAUAAUCUCCUUUAAUCAUUUCUCCUCUGCUGUGCUACCCUUAUUUUUCUUCCUUCCUAGUUUGCCCUUUCAAGCCUAUGCAGCUUCCUUUCUCUACCCCCCCCCCUCCGCCCCCCUCGCCGGCACACACACACAUGGGUCUGAUUAACUAGCUAACACAUUUACCCAGUUAAAUUCUUCUCUGAUGUUCCCACAUUCCACAUGAUCUUAGACCAAUCAAAAUUAUGUGGACAUCAAAAAUAGUGAUGUUCUCACUAUUCUACGCAUUAUUCACGAAUGUGCUGAGUUUCUCAGUAGAUGCAUUUGUGGUAUUUUAGAUCAUUUAAUUUUCAAGGGUAUGUUGGAUCUAAGUAGACCGAGAUAAAAUAUCUACCAUUUAAUCAGCACUGGGAUAGUUACAAGAGCAAGAUGUAAAGUUAGGACCUCACUGAGCUAAUAAGGAAGGAGAGGUGGCAGCCAAGCCAACAAAAAGGUAAAAAGCCCAAUUUACUUAAAAGAGGCUCUAUUUAAAGAAAAUCUAAUUUUAUGUUAUGAAUAUUCACCCUCCCAUCUUAUUGUGCACAUGUGAAAUUGCUCAUAGUUUUAUUUAUUUAUUCCUCACUUUGUUCUAAAAAAGGAUUUAAGAUAGCUUAUGAGGAUGUUUAAAAUACAUCAAAGCAACAUAAUUAGAAAUAGGUGAGAAAGUAGAAAAAUAACAAGACAGGAAACCUAAAGUCAAACCAGAAAUAGGACAGAAGGCAAGUUCUCUGUUAUGAAAGUUUUAUACCUUUACUAUUGUUUCAAAGAUCUUAAGCAUCCUAUGUUGAAGGCGUUUGGUAGGUCAUGGAACUGACACUAUUUAGGAUAUAAAACAAAUGAACUGUUUAGAAAGAGAUGGUCAGAAGCGGUGGGAUAAUCUCUUGAGCGGACUCAGGGAAGACACCGUCUUAAACAUGAACAGCAUCACCAUCACCCUUCUCAACCGGGUGGGCGUAACCACGGUGAGUCGCCUAACGCAGUUCCUUGUAGUAUUCUUCUGUAUAAGCUGGUGGUAUCAUGUUAAGGUAAAUUACAGUGCGAGACACUAUUUUUGUCACUCUGUAUGAGGGGUAGAGAUGAAGGAGCAGUAAGAUAGAGUCCAAUAUGUAACUGUAUAUUGGUUUGGCUGAAAUAUUUGUAUAAAUUACAACAUAUUGCAUUCCAUAACCUGGUGCCAUAUUCUUCAUUUGGUCUUCAAUAAAAUUAUUUCAAAGUUACUGUUACCCAUUAUCUGUGUAACACUUGUUUAAGAUUUCUUGAUAAAGAAAUGAAGACCCACCUUAUCUAUCAGAUAUUCUAAGUAUGAAGUCCAGAAAGAAGAGGUAACACCUAAAAGACACUCACUGUUACUCUGGUGGUGGAAAUAUAUACAAAAGCUACCAAUACUUGGUGGUGACUUGUAACAAACUAAUAGAUAGGAAAACAAAUGUGUCUCAGGAUAAUAAUAUGAGUGGAACUAAAAAGCAAGGUGAUUUCUACUCAGGAGCACAAAUUUAAAAUAAUGCACCUUUUUUUCCCAAAAAUUGCACGGGAAAGAAAAAUGCUCUUUCAGGAUUAAGGGGAGGUUAUUGCCAAUUUUUUUUUAUUUCCCCAAUACAUUAUUUUUUUUUCUACUGUACAGCAUGGUGACCCAGUUACACAUACAUGUAUACAUUCUUUUUUCUCACAUUAUCAUGCUCCUCAUAAGUGACUAGACAUAGUUGCCAGUGCUACAUUCAGCACUAAGAUACAAUAUAUUUAAGAGAACUCAUUUCAAUGGGAGAAGAAAAACUCAGUCCCCACAUUUCUAAAUUUGGUGAUUCCCUACUAAAAUUUAUCCUACUUUCAGAGGAUAAUAUAAAUAAAAAUAUGGCAAUGUUAAGAUCCAAAUAAUAUCCUCUUAAAGUUGGGUAAGUUUUUGGUAGGGAAUCACCAAAUUUAGAAAUGUGGGAACUGAAUUUUACUUCUCCCACUGAAAUUAGUUUUCUUAAAUAUGUUGUAUGUUAGUGCUGGAGAGGGUGUGGAAAAAGGGAACCCUCCUACACUGUUGGUGGGAAUGUACAUUGGUACAACCACUAUGGAAAACAGUAUGGAGGUACCUCAGAAAACUAAAUAUAGAACUACUGUGUGACCCAGCAGUCCUACUCUUGGGCAUAUAUCCAGACAAAACUUUCCUUGAAAAAGAUACAUAUGUUCAUUAGCACUAUUUUCACAAUAGCCAAAACAUGGAAACAACCUAGAUGCCCAAUGACAGAUGAAUGGAUUAAGAAGAUGUGGUAUAUACACACAGAGGAAUACUACUCAGCCACAAAAAGAACAAAAUAAUGCCAUUUAUAGAAACAUGAAUGGAACUAGAGACUCUCAUUCGAAGUAAAGGAAGUCAGAAAGAGAAAGAAAGACAAAUACCAUAUGAUAUCAUUUAUAUCGGGGAUGUAUUUUUUAAUGACUUUUAUUUUUUCCAUUAUAGUUGAUUUACAGUGUUCUGUCAGUUUCUAUUGUAUAUACUGCACAAAUGAACCUUUUCACAGAAAAGAAACUCAUGGACUUGCAGUACAGACUUGUGAUUGCCAAGGGGGAGGGUUAGGGAGAGGGAGUGGAAUGAACUGGGAAUCUAGGGUUAAUAGAUUCAAACAAUUGCAUUUGGAGUGGAUAAACAAUGAGAUCCUGCUUUAUGGCACUGGGUAUUAUGUCUAGUCACCUGUGAUGGAAUAUGAUGGAGGAUAGUGUGAGAGAAAGAAUGUGUGUAUUUGUGUGACUAGGUCACCUUGCUAUACAGUAGAGAUUGACAGAAUGUAAACCAACCAACUAUAAUGGACAAAAUGAAAAUCAUUAAAUAAAUAAAAAAAAA